GCUAACAGGCUACAUAUUUUUUAGCAUAAAGUUGUGUCGCUAAUGGUGGUAGCAUGUUGGAGCAUCUCUGAUGUUAUUUUUCUUUUUUGGUUGACAUGUUGAAUAUUUGGACGGUUAUUGCCUCUGAUUUCUGGAUUCUGUGUGGCUAGAAGGAUUUUUUUUAAUCUCCUUUUUGCUUUUAGACAGUUGUUACAUGCAUAACCGUGGCAACAAGUUAGUAUUUCAAAACCUCACGUAAUAUCUGGACUACGACCCCAAAAUCCCAGAGCUGUUGAAAAGGUUUCAGAGCAGAGAGAGAAGGAAGAAGUUCAGAUCAUUUCUUCCAUCGAUCAGAUCGAGAUUUAAAGAGGAGCGGCAAAAGCAAAGGAGGUGGAUUAGCACCUGGGUGUCAUCCAGGACAGAUUACUGCUGAAUAUAAUCAGCAGUACAGGCGCAGAGAACAGGCGCAACAACGGAGAAACUUUAAUGCUAACACAAUGCUAACUUUUCCAAAGUGACGUGAGCGACUCUCUGUUAGCUGCUCUUCAUCAUCUGAGACCUCGGAGCAUCCGCUGGUCAGCAGAAGGAGGAAACGUGAUAGUGACAGGUGCAGGCGGCUAAAAUAGGAGCAGAAGAAGAAGAAGGGGGAGCGGCGUGUGAGAAAAAGAGGCGACAGAGAGAUAAUAAGAUAAUAUCGCAUGAGAAGAAGAAUCUGCAACAAAAGCAGAGGCUUUAAAAUUAAAUGUUGCAGA
This is a long non-coding RNA of Poecilia latipinna (sailfin molly), 731 nucleotides long. RefSeq lists it as uncharacterized. Lineage: Eukaryota; Metazoa; Chordata; Actinopteri; Cyprinodontiformes; Poeciliidae. The transcript is spliced from 2 exons. The record is from RefSeq and is a predicted model, not a curated record.